This 764-nucleotide long non-coding RNA is filed under the name Callithrix jacchus (white-tufted-ear marmoset). Its description in RNAcentral is "lncRNA (ENSCJAG00000087178.1)". The record is from RNAcentral. Lineage: Eukaryota; Metazoa; Chordata; Mammalia; Primates; Cebidae.
CUCCUGGCUCUUCACAUAGUUCCUUCCUGUUCUUCAUUCAAGUUAUAACUCAGAUGUUCCCUCCCAGAGAGGUCAUCUUUGACCACUCAGUAGGAACUAGCCCCUCCUAGUCAGCUCCUUUCCCAUGACCCCAUUUUGUGUCCACUGUCUGAGAUACUGAUUUGAUUUUUCUUUGUUUAGGUCUGUGCCUCUCUAUCGGAUGUCAUCUGAUGUGAGGAGGGGCCUUCUUGGUCUUGUUCAGUGUCUGGCAUAAAGCAGAAGACCUUUGCCUGCAUCAGCCAAAUAUCUGUGACUAGGAAAGCAGACAGAGUUACAUGGACAAGGGACACUAUUGGCAAGGAUAAUGGCAAUAGAAACCCUAAGGAAAUAAGAAGGAAAAACGUAAGUGACAAAAUAAGAAAACCUAACCUAGUAAAGCUAAUCAAAAACAAAUUCAAAUUAACACAGUUAAAAUCAGAAAGCUAAUAUAACCACUGAAUAAAAUAAAUUUAAAAAUUAUAGAAGCAUAUUAUCCUGAAAUGUCAGAUACUUUGAAACCUCAAUAAGGUAGAAAAAGAAAAUGUCCUUAAAAACAUGACAUUCUAAACCUGGUGUGAGAAAAAAAAUGAAAAAACAGUGUUGGACUUAACCUGAAGAUUAUUUACAAUGGCCAUAAAGAUGUGCUGCUAAUUAUUUCUCAUACAAAUGGUUAUUGUUUGAACAAAUUGUUCAAAAGCAAGAAAAACAUUUAGGGUGAACACAUUAGUCUAUGAGGUCAGUAUGAU